UUCCACCGGGCAAGACUUUCGUCUACGAAUUCCAGAUGAAGCACAGCGGAACGUUUAUGUAUCAUCCGCACUCGGACGAAAUGGUCCAGAUGGCGAUGGGUAUGAUGGGCAUGAUCGUCGUGCAUCCGCGCGAUCCGGCAUUCCGGCCGGUCGACCGCGACUUCGUGUUCAUCAUGAGCACCUACGACAUCGAUCCCGGCACCUAUCUGCCGAAGGUGUCGGAAAUGACGAAUUUCAA
This 238-nucleotide unclassified non-coding RNA is filed under the name Hevea brasiliensis (rubber tree). The record is from RNAcentral. Lineage: Eukaryota; Viridiplantae; Streptophyta; Magnoliopsida; Malpighiales; Euphorbiaceae.